UACGGGGGGGGCAAGCGUUGUUCGGAAUUACUGGGCGUAAAGGGCUCGUAGGCGGCCAACUAAGUCGGAUGUGAAAUCCCCAGGCUUAACCUGGGAACUGCAUCCGAUACUGGAUGGCUUGAAUCCGGGAGAGGGAUGCAGAAUUCCAGGUGUAGCGGUGAAAUGCGUAGAUAUCUGGAGGAACACCGGUGGCGAAGGCGGCAUCCUGGACCAACACUGACACUGAGGAGCGAAAGCCAGGGGAGCAAACGGG
RNAcentral lists this ribosomal RNA (253 nucleotides) under uncultured bacterium. RNAcentral's name for it is "partial 16S ribosomal RNA". It matches the Rfam family "Bacterial small subunit ribosomal RNA", at positions 524 to 776 of the family's 1533-position model. The record is from RNAcentral.